Molecule: RNA transcript, 1813 nt
Organism: Carassius auratus (goldfish)
Lineage: Eukaryota; Metazoa; Chordata; Actinopteri; Cypriniformes; Cyprinidae
Gene name: GTPase IMAP family member 7-like
Exons: 5
Source: RefSeq, a predicted model, not a curated record
CACACACACACACACACACUCACACAUUUCUUCUUCAUUCACACAGCACCAAGGAAGCAUGCCUACAUGAUGAAACCCACAGGACGAUGAAGACUCAGACGUCAGGAGUCAGAGAAGAUCAUCAGCUGAAGACAGGUGAAAGAGACGGAGGAUGAAACAGAGAAACAUGUUACUCGCUGAUACCAGAGUGAUUGUUGCACACAAUCCUCUUCACAGGAGAAGACGAAGCAAAGACCUGCCUCUUUACAUGAGGAUUGUUCUUCUGGGCUCCAGCGUGUCUGAAAACAGUAGAGUAGGAAACUUCAUCUUAGGACGAGCAGCGUUUGACAGUGAAGCUGCUCCAGAUGUUGUAGAAAGAGUCGGAGGAAGACUGAAGGACAGACACCUGAUGAUCAUCAACAGUCCUCAGCUGCUCCAGACGAACAUCUCAGAUCAUCAGAUCACACAGACAGUGAGAGAGUGUAUGUUUCUGUCUGAUCCAGGACCUCAUGUGAUCCUUCUGCUCCUCAAACAUGAGCAGUGUUCAGCAGAAGAUCAGGAGCGUGUGGAGAAGGUGCUGGGAUCUUUCUCUGAGCAGGUUUAUCAACACACCAUGGUGCUCAGCACACAAGAGACCACAGAAACCAGUGACGUCCUACAGAACAUCAUUCAGAAGUGUGGAAACAGACACUUCAGUCUUCAGAAGAGCAGCUCUCCUGAGGAUCUUCUGCUGAUGUUUGAGGAGAUUGUGAAGAUGAAUGAUGGACAUCACCUGGAGUGUGCUGAAGCUGCACAGUGUUUCACCAUGAAACAACAGAUCACAGAGAGACGUGAGUGUGAGGAUAGUUGAAGUUUCAGAGGCUGUGAAGCUGAAUCUGGUCAUGUGUGGGAGCGACGGGAUUUUAAAAUCCUCCGUAUCAGAGCAGAUCCUGCAGCAGACAGAUGUGGAGCUUCAUGGUCGGAUCAGUGUGAUAGAGCUUCCAGCUCUGACUCGUCUCUCAGAAGAGGAAGUGAUGCGUCAGACUCUCAGCUGUGUGUCUCUCUGUCAUCCUGGAGUUCAUGCUUUCCUCCUCAUUGUCCCUGAUGCUCCACUCAAUCAUGAAGACAAAGCAGAAACAGAGAAGAUCAACAAACACAUCAUGACCCUCAUAAAGAAGGAAUCAGAAGAACUCAGUGAAGAGACACAGUCUCUCAUUGAGAGGUUCGGAGGACAACAUCAGUUCUUCGGUCCAAAGACACAAGUGUCCACAUUGAUGGAGAACAUCGAGCAGAUGCUGGAAGAAAACAGAGGAGAGUUUUACGCCACAGAGACAUUUCUGGAGAUUCAGAAGAAAACACUGAUGAAAUAUGAAGAGAUGGAGAUGAAAAUCAACUCAACAGACACAUAUUUAGUGUCACAAGAAGAUAGACGACAUGGUGAAAGAGAACUGAAACUCCUUGAAGAACAGGAUGAAGAAGAACUGAAGUGAAGACGAGUGCAGUGGAGAGAGGAAUAUGAGAGAAAGGAAGAGGAGAUGAAGAUGAUGAAGAAGAUCUGCUCUAAAACUGAUCCGUCACUGCAGGUGAGAAACAUGAAGACAAGAUAUUAAUUAAUGCCAUUUUAACCCUUUAAACACCUCAACUCUGAUAUCUCAAGUUCACAGUUUGCAUAAUUAUUCAUUGAUAUUUGAAAAAAUAUAUUCAUACAUUACACAUUUAACAGCAAAGAAUGUUUUGAAGUUUACGGUGCAGUUCUUAGUCUAUGUGUCAACCACUACAGAUUGUCCAAUCAGAACAAUAAAUCACUCUGUGCAUGUCCACAAUAAACUCCUUUACUGCUCCCUUUUGAAUCAUA